Molecule: long non-coding RNA, 297 nt
Filed under: Prunus persica (peach)
Lineage: Eukaryota; Viridiplantae; Streptophyta; Magnoliopsida; Rosales; Rosaceae
Description: long non-coding RNA (PPER_LNC002530)
Source: RNAcentral
AUUUACAUUGUAAACUUAAGUAAAUUGAGUAAUAUAAAAAUAAAUUAAAGUAAAAGGACAAAGACAUUUACUUAAAUGUUGAAAAUAGAAAUAAGGUAAUCUGUACACCAAUUGAGCAAAGGGGCAGUUUGAAGCACCUACAAUGGUUUUUUCGGCGAAGGAAGGUGCAGCUGCACCUCCUUGCGCCUUAAUGGAUCCGCCUCUGGUUGUCCACCUUCACCGGAACAGUAGGUGGUGGCGGUCGAAAAUUGCUGCUCCGAUUUCGUUCCCGGUCUAUUUGCAAAAUCUGAAUUGCAC